GGUUAAGUUAGAAAGGGCGCACGGUGGAUGCCUUGGCACUAGGAGCCGAUGAAGGACGGGACGAACACCGAUAUGCUUCGGGGAGCUGUAAGCAAGCUUUGAUCCGGAGAUUUCCGAAUGGGGAAACCCACCACUCGUAAUGGAGUGGUAUCCAUAUCUGAAUUCAUAGGAUAUGAGAAGGCAGACCCGGGGAACUGAAACAUCUAAGUACCCGGAGGAAGAGAAAGCAAAUGCGAUUCCCUGAGUAGCGGCGAGCGAAACGGGAUUAGCCCAAACCAAGAGGCUUGCCUCUUGGGGUUGUAGGACACUCUGUACGGAGUUACAAAAGAACGAGGUAGAUGAAGAGGUCUGGAAAGGCCCGCCAUAGGAGGUAACAGCCCUGUAGUCAAAACUUCGUUCUCUCCUGAGUGGAUCCUGAGUACGGCGGAACACGUGAAAUUCCGUCGGAAUCCGGGAGGACCAUCUCCCAAGGCUAAAUACUCCCUAGUGACCGAUAGUGAACCAGUACCGUGAGGGAAAGGUGAAAAGCACCCCGGAAGGGGAGUGAAAGAGAUCCUGAAACCGUGUGCCUACAAGUAGUCAGAGCCCGUUAANNNNNNNAUGAGUACGUGGUCGUAGACCCGAAACCAGGUGAUCUACCCAUGUCCAGGGUGAAGUUCAGGUAACACUGAAUGGAGGCCCGAACCCACGCACGUUGAAAAGUGCGGGGAUGAGGUGUGGGUAGGGGUGAAAUGCCAAUCGAACCUGGAGAUAGCUGGUUCUCUCCGAAAUAGCUUUAGGGCUAGCCUCAAGGUAAGAGUCUUGGAGGUAGAGCACUGAUUGGACUAGGGGCCCCUACCGGGUUACCGAAUUCAGUCAAACUCCGAAUGCCAAUGACUUAUCCUUGGGAGUCAGACUGCGAGUGAUAAGAUCCGUAGUCGAAAGGGAAACAGCCCAGACCGCCAGCUAAGGUCCCAAAGUAUACGUUAAGUGGAAAAGGAUGUGGAGUUGCUUAGACAACCAGGAUGUUGGCUUAGAAGCAGCCACCAUUUAAAGAGUGCGUAAUAGCUCACUGGUCGAGUGACUCUGCGCCGAAAAUGUACCGGGGCUAAACGUAUCACCGAAGCUGCGGACUGUUCUUCGAACAGUGGUAGGAGAGCGUUCUAAGGGCUGUGAAGCCAGACCGGAAGGACUGGUGGAGCGCUUAGAAGUGAGAAUGCCGGUAUGAGUAGCGAAAGAGGGGUGAGAAUCCCCUCCACCGAAUGCCUAAGGUUUCCUGAGGAAGGCUCGUCCGCUCAGGGUUAGUCGGGACCUAAGCCGAGGCCGAAAGGCGUAGGCGAUGGACAACAGGUUGAUAUUCCUGUACCACCUCCUCACCAUUUGAGCAAUGGGGGGACGCAGGAGGAUAGGGUAAGCGCGGUAUUGGAUAUCCGCGUCCAAGCAGUUAGGCUGGGAAAUAGGCAAAUCCGUUUCCCAUAAGGCUGAGCUGUGAUGGCGAGCGAAAUAUAGUAGCGAAGUUCCUGAUUCCACACUGCCAAGAAAAGCCUCUAGCGAGGUGAGAGGUGCCCGUACCGCAAACCGACACAGGUAGGCGAGGAGAGAAUCCUAAGGUGAUCGAGAGAACUCUCGUUAAGGAACUCGGCAAAAUGACCCCGUAACUUCGGGAGAAGGGGUGCUCUGUUAGGGUGCAAGCCCGAGAGAGCCGCAGUGAAUAGGCCCAGGCGACUGUUUAGCAAAAACACAGGUCUCUGCGAAGCCGUAAGGCGAAGUAUAGGGGCUGACGCCUGCCCGGUGCUGGAAGGUUAAGAGGAGCGCUUAGCGUAAGCGAAGGUGCGAAUUGAAGCCCCAGUAAACGGCGGCCGUAACUAUAACGGUCCUAAGGUAGCGAAAUUCCUUGUCGGGUAAGUUCCGACCCGCACGAAAGGCGCAACGAUCUGGGCACUGUCUCAACGAGAGACUCGGUGAAAUUAUAGUACCUGUGAAGAUGCAGGUUACCCGCGACAGGACGGAAAGACCCCGUGGAGCUUUACUGCAGCCUGAUAUUGAAUGUUGGUACAGCUUGUACAGGAUAGGUAGGAGCCUUGGAAACCGGAGCGCCAGCUUCGGUGGAGGCAUCGGUGGGAUACUACCCUGGCUGUAUUGACCUUCUAACCCGCCGCCCUUAUCGGGCGGGGAGACAGUGUCAGGUGGGCAGUUUGACUGGGGCGGUCGCCUCCUAAAAGGUAACGGAGGCGCCCAAAGGUUCCCUCAGAAUGGUUGGAAAUCAUUCGCAGAGUGUAAAGGCACAAGGGAGCUUGACUGCGAGACCUACAAGUCGAGCAGGGACGAAAGUCGGGCUUAGUGAUCCGGUGGUUCCGCAUGGAAGGGCCAUCGCUCAACGGAUAAAAGCUACCCCGGGGAUAACAGGCUUAUCUCCCCCAAGAGUCCACAUCGACGGGGAGGUUUGGCACCUCGAUGUCGGCUCAUCGCAUCCUGGGGCUGUAGUCGGUCCCAAGGGUUGGGCUGUUCGCCCAUUAAAGCGGUACGCGAGCUGGGUUCAGAACGUCGUGAGACAGUUCGGUCCCUAUCCGUCGCGGGCGCAGGAAAUUUGAGAGGAGCUGUCCUUAGUACGAGAGGACCGGGAUGGACGCACCGCUGGUGUACCAGUUGUUCUGCCAAGGGCAUCGCUGGGUAGCUAUGUGCGGACGGGAUAAGUGCUGAAAGCAUCUAAGCAUGAAGCCCCCCUCAAGAUGAGAUUUCCCAUUCCGCAAGGAAGUAAGAUCCCUGAAAGAUGAUCAGGUUGAUAGGUCUGAGGUGGAAGUGUGGCGACACAUGGAGCUGACAGAUACUAAUCGAUCGAGGACUUAACCAC
This 2830-nucleotide ribosomal RNA is filed under the name Bacillus inaquosorum. RNAcentral describes it as "23S ribosomal RNA". It matches the Rfam family "Bacterial large subunit ribosomal RNA". The record is from RNAcentral. Lineage: Bacteria; Bacillati; Bacillota; Bacilli; Caryophanales; Bacillaceae.